RNAcentral lists this ribosomal RNA (460 nucleotides) under uncultured bacterium. Its description in RNAcentral is "partial 16S ribosomal RNA". It matches the Rfam family "Bacterial small subunit ribosomal RNA", at positions 338 to 795 of the family's 1533-position model. The record is from RNAcentral.
CCUACGGGUGGCAGCAGUGAGGAAUAUUGGUCAAUGGCCGGAAGGCUGAACCAGCCAUGCCGCGUGAAGGUCAGUGCCCUAUGGGCGUUAAACUUCUUUUGUGCGGGAGCAAUAAUGGUCACGUGUGGCCAGACGAGAGUACCGUACGAAUAAGCAUCGGCUAACUCCGUGCCAGCAGCCGCGGUAAUACGGGGGAUGCAAGCGUAAUCCGGAUAUAUUGGGUUUAAAGGGUGCGUAGGCUGUGAGGUAAGUCAGCGGUGAAAUGCCCCCGCUCAACGGGGGGAAGUGCCAUUGAUACUGCCUGGCUGGAAUGCGGAUGCCGUAGGAGGAAUGUGUGGUGUAGCGGUGAAAUGCAUAGAUAUCACGCAGAACACCGAUUGCGAAGGCAUCUCACGAAUCCGCGAUUGACGCGGAUGCACGAAAGCGUGGGUAUCAAACAGGAUUAGAUACCCUUGUAGUC